UGAUUCUCUGUGUAAGCGAA
RNAcentral lists this small RNA (20 nucleotides) under Arabidopsis thaliana (thale cress). RNAcentral describes it as "AGO1_4770". The record is from RNAcentral. Lineage: Eukaryota; Viridiplantae; Streptophyta; Magnoliopsida; Brassicales; Brassicaceae.